AUGGCCUGGGCCCCUCUGCUCCUCACGCUGCUCACUUACUGCUCAGGAUCCUUGGCCCAGUUUGUGCUGACUCAGCCGCCCUCAGCAUCCGCGUCUCCUGGGCAAACGGUUACGAUCUCCUGUGCCAGGAGCAGCGGCAGCAUCGGUAGCUACUAUGUAUCCUGGUACCAACAGAAGCCUGGCAGUGCCCCAAAGCUUAUUAUAUACGAGUGGAACAAGAGACCCUCUGGAAUCUCCGACCGAUUCUCCGGCUCUACAGACACCUCCGCCAAUGCUGCCUCCUUAACCAUCUCUGGGGUCCAAUCCGACGAUGAGGCUGAUUAUUACUGUCAUUCAUAUGACAGCAACAGCAAUCCCACAGUGCUACAGGCCCAUGGGGAACUGAGACCAAAACCUGCCACAGCAGCUCACGUUCCAUUGCUCUGGUCUCACUGCGUCUUCCCCCUGCCUGAGGCCCUGCAGCGAAAUGAACUGUCUCUCCCCCCUCACGGGUGGUACAAUCCCAAAUAA
This is a non-coding RNA of Emys orbicularis (European pond turtle), 510 nucleotides long. Lineage: Eukaryota; Metazoa; Chordata; Testudines; Emydidae. The record is from the annotation of a RefSeq genome assembly.